RNAcentral lists this long non-coding RNA (17808 nucleotides) under Arabidopsis thaliana (thale cress). RNAcentral's name for it is "long non-coding RNA (ATHA_LNC000278)". The record is from RNAcentral. Lineage: Eukaryota; Viridiplantae; Streptophyta; Magnoliopsida; Brassicales; Brassicaceae.
CGUGAUAGAGAUAUCUAAUAGUGGUAUGGAGGAGGAGGAGAUUUGUAGAGGUAAGGAUGGUGUGGUGGAGAGUAGUGGUGUACUGGAGGAGGAGGAGGUGAUUUGUACACGUACUUUUCCUUUGGUGGUGGUGGAGAGUGGUAAACCGGAGGAGGAGAGUAGUGCUUAACCGGAGGAGGAGGGGACUUGUAUACGUAAUGUUUCUUUGGUGGUGGUGGGGAAUGGUAGACUGGAGGGGGAGAGUAGUGCUUAACCGGAGGAGGAGGGGACUUGUAUACGUAAUGUUUCUUUGGUGGUGGUGGGGAAUGGUAAACUGGAGGGGGAGAGUAGUGCUUCACCGGUGGUGGUGGAGAUUUGUACACGUAGUGUUUCUUUGGUGGGGGUGGGGAAUGGUAAACCGGAGGAGGAGAGUAGUGCUUAACUGGAGGAGGAGGAGAUUUGUACACGUAGUGUUUCUUUGGUGGUGGUGGGGAAUGGUAAACCGGAGGAGGAGAGUAGUGCUUAACCGGAGGAGGAGGAGAUUUGUACACGUAGUGUUUCUUUGGGGGUGGUGGGGAAUGGUAAACCGGAGGAGGUGAGUAGUGCUUCACCGGUGGUGGUGGAGAUUUGUAGACGUAAUGCUUUUUAGGUGGGGGUGGGGAAUGGUAAACCGGAGGGGGAGAGUAGUGCUUAACCGGAGGAGGAGGAGACUUGUAAACGUAAUGUUUUUUUGGUGGUGGUGGUGAGUGGUAAACCGGAGGGGGAGAGUAGUGCUUAACCGGAGGAGGAGGAGACUUGUAUACGUAAUGUUUCUUUGGUGGUGGUGGUGAGUGGUAAACCGGUGGGGGAGAGUAGUGCUUGACUGGAGGAGGGGGAGAUUUGUACACGUAGUGCUUCUUGGGUGGUGGUGGAGAGUGGUAAACCGGAGGAGGAGAGUAGUGCUUAACCGGAGGAGGGGGAGAUUUGUAAACGUAGUGCUUCUUUGGUGGUGGUGGGGAGUGAUAAACCGGUGGGGGAGAGUAGUGCUUGACCGGAGGAGGAGGAGAUUUGUACACGUAGUGUUUCUUUGGUGGGGGUGGGGAAUGGUAAACCGGAGGAGGUGAGUAGUGCUUAACCGGUGGAGGUGGAGAUUUGUAUUCGUAGUGCUUCUUAGGUGGUGGUGGGGAGUGGUAUACCGGUGGAGGAGAGUAGUGUUUAACCGGAGGAGUGUAAUGUUUAACCGGUGGUGGAGGAGAAGAAUAGAAAUAGUUAGCGGUUGAUUGAGAUACAAAGGUGAGAGAGAUUGUUAAGACAAGCAAAGUUGCCACUAAAGAGGCCAUUGGAGACCCCAUUGGUUGUUUUGUUUUUGGUUUGUGAUUUAGUGCCUUCCCUUCACACCCUUUAAAUAGCUUUUUCAGUUUCACUAUUUUCACACUCGUUGUAAAAUGGUAACUUACGUCAUGUAAAAAGUACAUGCAAUUAUGUACACCAAACAUAUAUAAAUAUUAGUAUAUAGAAAGAAGUGAUGUUUGUUGGUCUCUCCGACUCUCAUUAUUAAACUUUUUUCUUCAGCCAUCGAUGAUUGACAUGUUCUCCAUGUUCGAACAACGUAUCGAAUCUCGUGAUUUUUCAAAAUAUAACGUUAGAUCUAACGUAUGUUUUCUAAAUCUCGCGAUUUUUGUUAUGUCCCUUUUGAUAAUACUCACUUUUUUUUGUGUGUGAAAAUUCACUUUAGAACAAUAAUACAAUGUCCCAAAAGCUAAGAAAGUAGUAAUUGUAAUUGUAGAACGUUGUAAGAGAAAAUAUGUUGAUGGCCUCUUGAGUUUUUCUUUUUCCGGUAAAGAAGAUAUAUAUGGCCUCUAAGUUAAAAGGGGAAACAUGAGAAAAUCAUUUCUGACUACGUUAAAUGUAAAACAUGACUCUAAACACACAAGAUUAAUACUUUACUUUUUCUUUCAAAUUUAGAAAUAACAAAACCAUAUCAGAAAUUAUGUACACAGCCGUAUAUAGGUUUGUGGUUAUAGAUUAGAUGUUUGUCGAUAUUUGAUCCAUUAAUAUGUGUAAGUCGAACUAUAACCAGCGAAUGUAAUGUCAUAACAUGGUCCAAAUUAUUAAUUUGGAAUUUAUUUAUCUUAUAUUUUACUUAACAAAGUUACUAAAUUUUAGUCCGCUUUUAUCUUUCUAUUUUUGGUUACAUGCAUCUUUUCAUUUUGUGUUAAAGUACAUACAUCCUUUUUUCUCCGAUGAUACUUUCUUCUUGGCUCCUUAUACAAGUCCUUAUGAAUAAUGGGAAACGAAUAACAUUGCCUUUGACACUUUUAGAAAAAGCAUUUGCAAUAUUCAUUUUGAGAACCAAAUAAAAGUUAUGUUCAAAUUCUUUCUUUCUUUCUUUUUUCCAGUUUUGUAAUCUUAAGUUUGAGCAUGAUCUGCCUAAUGCAUAAGUGAUUCUCGGCAAUGUAAUGGACCAACCACAGAUAUUUUCAUAGAUAGAGAUGUGAAUAUAUAUAGAUCAAUAAUCAGAAACAGCUAAAUAUAGCUAAACAACUUAUUUUCGAUAUCUCACCUACUUCCUACGUACUGGUCAAAGAUGCUUACCACAUCCAUUCUUUUACUCGUUCAUUACAAAUGUAAUCAAAUCCAAUAUUCAUUACAGAACUUAUCAAUUCAAUGUAAAAUAUUCAUCUUUAAUCUAAAUGCUCUAUCCCAACAUUAUUGCAGUUAAUGCAUAUUAGAUACAGCAAAUUUAUUAUCGAGCAUAAAACUCUAUAAUAUAGUUUUGAGUUAUUACCUAGAAGAUUCAGUUCCGGAUAAUAUUGUUUUUCAUCUAGUGAACCUAGAUCGACUAAUAAUAAACCUAUAUAAACCCCAAUUAAGUAACAUGUUCAUCGAAACUUUGCAUUUACUUCAUUUUUUUUAUAGUCGAUUAUAUUUUUCUUCUUCAACAAAAGACACUUAUAUAUGUAAUUUUUAAUUUUCUAGUCAAUACAUUUUCUCCAAAUAAAAUAGGGUUUUGUUUACGGAGAAUACUUUUUAAAAAAGAAAGAGUAUAUGAACGCGUUGACUUACGGCGGCCGAGUUAGAAGUGGAAGGAACAAAAGAGAGAAGGUGGUCCGUCAUACAUCCGAAUACCGCUCCUAAAGGUGACACUGCCAACGUGACAGUGAUUGUUCGAUCUUCGAUUUGGUGUUUUGCCUCACAUUUUCUUUGUUUAACCUUAGAACACGUUUCUUGUCCUCUCUAUUAUUCUUUUUUAAUUACAUACGCUGUCAAUUAUCAAGAGAUAAGAAAACGUUAAUAUGAUUUAACUAAUUAACAAGGUAGAUGAAUUAUCACGACCGGACUUUUCUGACUGAAUAUAAGGAUGAUAAAUGUUCAUUAUUUGUUUUUUGUUUUCUUUUUCGGUGCACUGGAUUCUUCAUUUCAAUUAUAGACUAUUGUACAUCUUCAUCUUCUAUCAAAAUAAACAAAUAAAUCAAUAAAAGAAGCUUGGUCAAGAGUCAAGAUAGAUUUUCGAUAAUUGAAUUUUAUUCAUUUUCAUCGAACUGGAUAAGUAACCAGCUGGAUUAAGACUUAGACAAAUUAACAACUUCGCAUAAUUUUUUAACACAUUCUUGAAAGCUGACUUUGUUGGUGAGACGUCAACAAAUUGCAAGAAUAAUCACCGUCAUACCGAUUUGGUCAUUUGUAAUAAAGUAACACGACAAUAGUUACCUUUGAUGAUAAUAAUUACAGAAUUAUAGAUAUUUAGAUUCCUUUAGUAAAAUAUAGCUCAUAUCUGAUCCACUUCGAAAGAUGAUAGCCUUAAAGUAAAUAUUGGUAUACAUUUGAGUUUGACUAGAUAACAAUUCCAUAAGACCAAUAAAGAUUUUACGAUAUUGAAUAGAUUUUUAUGCGCUUAUUAUUUUAAAUAUAUUAGAAAUAUACAUAAUUGGUGUUUGCUUUCAUUUAGAAUGUUAAAUUACAUGCAUGGUUUUAACUUUUAUCUUCACGAAUAUACGGAUUAAUUACGGUAUAGAUUAGAACCUCGUGAUAAUCAAAAAGGAAAAAUAUAUAGAGGGGGUAUUAUUUGACCACUCUUUGACGUGUUAGAUACUUUCUAAGAAUAUAUUUUUAAAAAAAUUAUUUUUCUUAGAUCUAUCGUUAUAUAUUAAUCUCAUAGUAACAAUUCUUCUGCUAUAUGAUUUUUCAAACAGAAAAAAAAUAUGUCUAAAAAAAGUUAUCCUUUGUAGUUUGAAUACUAGCAUUUCUUAAACACAAAUUAACUUUUCGAGCAGAAUUCCAAAUAGAACGUUAGUCAAAUUCUAAACUAGUUUUCGAGAUCUACAAAACUUUCAUCUUUUUUGUGUGGUCAAUGAUUUUUUACAUAGAAUGAUAAAAAAGAGUAUAUGAAUUCAUGAAAUGAUCAUCACUAACUUACCAUACCUUUGUUUUUUUUGAUAAAUUGAUAUAUUCAGUCUAAUAGACUCGAUUGACGACAAAAGAAAGACUUGUAUAUAAUAAAUAUGCGAUAUUAGAUUGUAACUGCAUGAUAGAUCAAUGAGUCAUAAGCAACAUGGCCUCCUUGUUCGAUACAUUUUUCUAAACAUAUUCGAUCCCUAAGCUACUAGCUACGUGUAAUUUUGCUAUAUAAAAAUAUUCAGCAUAAAAUUAAAAAAAUAGCUCAUCACUUCAGAUGAUAUGAAAAAGAAAGACUACACGUCGAUAAUCAAUCUAGACAAUAAUAAAGAUAUUUGUGACUAUUUCCUGGAAACACGUACAUAAACGUUAUUUGUCGUAAGAUACAGUUUUGUCGGGUCGCCGAAUGUGUCCCAAUAUGCAGUCUAUAAUCAAUAUGUGUCUAUUACAGACGAUUAGUUCGACUGUAAUUUCAUAUGGAUUUACAACUUUUUUUAAGAAUAUGAUUGGUAGCGGAAAAAAAUAUAUAUGAUUGGUAAAAAAAUAAAGUUUAUAAAAUUUUAAUUAACAGAAUUCCAAUAUAUAUUGAAGUGUUAAGAUUUUUGCUAAAUAAAUAAUUAGCAUCUAUACUAAUAAGAUAAGAAGAAUAAUAAUGAGGUUUAUAUAUUUACUUUUUAGGAAUUUUGAAAAUUUUCAAUAAUUUAUCUUAAAACUUUGUAGAUGGAGUUUGAGUUAUAUACUGUAUAUUUGAAUUACUGGGAGUCUGGGACAGAGCUACAGAAUUAUAAUAUAUAUUUUGCUUUAACAGAAAUUUUUGAAAUUACGGACCUAUCAUAUGUUACCAAUAAUCGUUAGAUUCGAACUUCCAUGUGGGAAUUAAAUUGAGACUACCAAACUUGUUUGAACAAAAAGAUUUCUUUUAAGAACUAAUCUAGAAUCCUAGAUUUUAAAUUAGCCUUUUGUGGACGUUUUCGCUAUAAAAAAUAAUAUGAUCAAAAUAAUUCGCAACUAAAAAUAAUUCACGACUUAUAAGAAGAAUCCCAUUCAAAAACACUAAUCAUCUCCUAAUUUUAAUUUGUUGAACUCUUUUAUUCUUUUUACAACAAAAACAUAAGAAGGAAAUCUACUGCUAAAAGCCUAAAACCAAAAAAAAAAAAAAAUAAAGAAAAAAGAAAAACAGAAAAACACUCCCUCUAUAACCAAUAUUGUACGACUUAAUUUUUUCACAAUUUCUUAAAUUCAUUAUACCGACAAACUAUCUCACGGUAAUAUCUGGAUUAUUAUUUUGUCCGUCUUUAUGGAAAGCGUUAGGAGAAGUUUGUUGAUUUUAUUCUUCAACAAAAAAAAACGUUUGUUGAUUUUAUAGUUGAUUUAUGGGACCAGCAGGCGGCUUGGCUGAUAUAUACGUCUUCGUUUUCUUUUUUUCUAGUUAGAUUUUAUGUGAUGUGAAAUUUUUUAAUUUGAAAAGAUAUAAAUAUUUUGACAUCAACAUACAAAAUGAUUAUUAUUUUAUAACAUAAUUAGCUCUUUUCUCUUAUUCCAUGGAGGAUUUAGUGACAUAUGUACACUUGGAAAAGUCACUGGUUAAUACUGUAGUAAUUUAGUAAGAAUUCUAUAAGAAGUAGAAAAUAUCUUCGAAAUAUUCUGCCGACAUAUCCUUAAAUUUAAGUUUUCACUACUUCUCCUAUUACGAUAAAAACUUAUAUAUAUAGACGUACGUUCAAAUAUCUCCCAUGUGAAAUUUCAAGUGUGUUUUUAUCCCAAAAAAAAUCAUGUGUACAAGAUAAAAAUACUAUGUAUAUUCAUCCGUACAAAAAUAACUUGUUAUUAUAAUUAUGUUAAUUUGUUUACAUUAUUUAUUUACUCUAUAUAUUUCCAAAAAAAAAAUGUUGAAAUUCAAACGCCACUAUUUUAGAAAUGAUUAAUAAGAAUUAUCCGAAAACAGAUUUAUUAUGAAAAUGGAAAAGAGGUAGAAAUUAAUUUUGAUCACGAUAAAGAUAUUCAUGAAAACCUAGUCAAUGAGAAAUUUAAUAUACUAACAUCCUUUAUAUACUAAUAAAGUAAUAAGUAAUAAUACUCAUCGAUCCGAACUACUGUACUUGUAAAACAAGUCCAACAAAAAAACAAGUAAUUCAGGUCAUCAAAUCUAACAAACUUCCCAUAACCGGACUAAACCAACAUUCUAUAGGCUCCCUUGAUUCAAGACACGUCUGUUUCCACUAAACCCUCACAUACGAGAAAUCUUACAUCAACAAACAUACUUGAUACUUCCCCAGCUAGCUCCAAAACCCACGGCGGCACGUCGGCACCAAGGUCCAUCGUCUACUUUUCUUGCAAUAAUUCACAGUAGGAGCUAAAGAAAUGUCACUGUGUCCACGAUUAUCACCAUUUGACCACAAAUUUUGUUCGCUAUUCAUAUGUUUCAAUAAAAUAAAAAUAUUACUAGUAGAUACUAAAGAAAGAGACAACGAAGUAUAACAAAUAUUUACUUUUUAUAAUUUCAGCUAGAUUUGUCUUUUGCUAGUAAAGAAGUCAGGUCCGAUACAGUGUGAAUGAACUGCAUGUGACCUGUGGGCGUCAGAAAAUGCUGGGGUAAAAACAUCAUUUCGUCAAUCGUCGUAGCAGAAAAUAUCUAUAACAGUGGUAUAAUAGCUACUUAUACGUAUUUGAUCAAAAAAAAAAAGACUACUAAUACGUAUGACCACUCCUAUUAUUAAAUCUAUUAAAUACUACUAUACGUAUUUCAUAACUGCUUGUUCUUCGUAAAUGACCACUCUCCUUUAAUUAUUUAUCAUAGUGCUAUAACAAAUUAAUUCAUAGUAUGUAACGGUGAAUUGAUAAACCAGCUACUACGAAUUAAUUUAGAAAAUAUGAAAUUUCACAAUAUGACAAAUGUAGAUGUCAUUGUUUCCAGGAGAGUUCUAAAAUACAAGAGUGUCCAAACAAACACAGUGAAGAAAGUAGUUAAGAGGAUAUUUUCCAGUGUAAGAUCUCUUGGAAUCACGCUAAUCUGUGAUUGAUUUUAUAUCUACAAUCGUACUUAAAAAAAUAUAGUGUUUUUUUUUAAUUAGGUGUAAUGUAGAACAGAGACUUUCAGAUCCACUUGAAUCAAUAUUGUAUAAAAUGUACUAAUCUAAUUGUUGUUUAACAACUUGUCUCUAUUUCCUCAAUCAUGAUUCAUAACCCGAUCGGUCUCCUAAACAUUAGUCUUGUUUGAGCCAAGAAUAUCUUCAAAAUAAUGCUGUAUUUAAAUAAGUCAUUAAAUUAUUAUCAUUGUAAGGAAUCAAUUAUUUAAAGCCACCUCUCAAUUAUUUAACAUAGUAGUAAAUUAAUUAUUUAAAGCCACCUCUCAAUUGAUUAACACUAUUUUAGUUUCCAAACCAGUGGCUAAAAAGCAAUACCUUGUUGGGGCAAAAUGUAUUUAACUAUUCAUUUCAUUUUAUUUCAAUUUUUUGCAGUAUAUAUAUGUAAUAUGUGUGUAUACGAGUCUGAUCGAGUACGUCAGCGAUUCAUGAAUACCAUUUAAUUGACAUAGGACAAAAGGUUACUUCUGAUUCACCAUUUACUAUUCUCAUCAUUCUCUUCUUUUUUGGGUUCAAAUUCUCAUCAUCGUCUAUUCCUCUUCAUCAUAACUCUCUCUUGAAUGUUAUUUCCAUCUGUAUAAAUACAAACUUACAUGAAUUAGUAACGUAUUAUUGUUUUCUAUAGCUAUUCUAGAUAGGGGACGUAAAGAGAAAAAAAGAUAGGGGACGUACUUUUUGUUGACGUUAUAGAGGACGUACUUUUUUUUACCCUGUUGUUUUUGUUUUGUUUUGUUAAAGGCUUCACGGCUUUACCCAAUUUCAAUAAUUCACAAAGACAUGUGCAAUAUGAUCAGUUUAUUACAAAAUUACAUCUUGUCUCAAAAGUCGCAAUCUACUGCUUCGUAAAAGAUGGAUAAAACAAAAGAGGAAAAGAUUGAUUUGUACAUUGCCUACUAACUUAUUUAACGUGGCCAGAAGCAUGAAGUUUCUUGAAUUAUGCAUGCACAUAAAAGCCAAAACAAAAACAAAAAAAUCUAAAGUCGGACGCGAAAAAAAGCAUCUGCUCUCUUUGGAUAUCGAAUAUACUCACCUCUCUUCAUCGCCGAUCCCAUCAGUGUUGACAUGUUUGGUCAACCAAAUAAAUUUGUAGUGUCACUGAUUUCUUAUCUUUUUGUAAAUUUUCUACAUUGAUUUGCUUUUUGAUAUAAAGUUCUAACUUUUUUAAAAGUAUCAUAUUACGAGGAAGCUAAAGCAACUACAAGCUCUAGAAGAUUGUAACUUUUCUUUGAAAGUAAAAGCACUCAUGGUUUUUAAUUGCUAACAAUAUACACUUACGAUAGGCAAAUCCUCACACUAGGGAUUAUAUGAGCCACUGUUUUGGAUUCUGUCCCAAAAAUAUAAAUGAACAAAUACAACUACGUACUGAUCCCUGAGUACACUAUUGAAGUCCCAUUUCCGUAUAAUUCCCACAUAGAAAAUAAAAGAUUGUGACAAAAAUUUCUGUCUUUGAUAGAUAACAGUAAUAAGAUGAUGCACUAAAUCUAUCCACGAGAUGGAAAGAAAAAUUAAGUGAAAGAGAAAGACUUUAGGUUCGAAUCACUUCAUCUCCGUGGUGUCUCUCCAUACAUCUCUGUUUCUUUGAGUGAAACUACUCCUAAGGAUUUGAGCAUAUGAUCAAGUGUAUUUGGGUUCAUGUAGAAUCUAGUUGCAGGAGGGAACAUGGAAGCACGAAACAAUAAGUCACCAUUUGGUCGAUGGGCCUCAAAUGUCACCUACUGAUCACCUUCUUCCUCCACGCUGUCCUGGUCUUGGACCUGGGUUUCUGAAAAAUUGGAGCCGCAAAAUCUUGGAAUCGGGUUCGUCUUCAUCCAUUCGAUAGUCUGUCAAAUAUAAAGUUGUAUCAGUUAAACCAGCGGACGAGUGUUGGCUUGCAUCGGACAAAAUCAAACUUUGAUACAGUAUAUGUUCUAGCAUAGUGUUUAUAACUGAAAUGAAGAUAGUAAUAUCAAGAAACCAAUGCAAAACAAACUCAAUAUGUGUUGGAACAAAUAUUAGCAAUCCCCAAAGUAGAGAGAAUCUCGGUUACCUUGCAAAGCGCUCAGAGCAGUUGCUGCACAGGCAGAGUUUUCAAAAUCAACAAAACACAGAACAGUAGGAUCUCCACUCCUCUGCAUAAAACCCCUUAGAAAGUCAAUAUUAAUGAAAUUAUGGGACUGAGUGUUUUCAUUUUCAACAAUUCUUCAAAUUGGAACCAGUGAAUCUUACGUGUUUUGAAUCUUGGGUCACAAGUCUUACUUCUCUAUAUCCCACAAAAGGCCGAAAUAUAUCUAGACUUCAGUUAAGGACAAUGAAUAGCUCAAACAUUCUUAAGUGAGGAAAUUAAUAAUUGUAAUGAGUCAUUAGGUAGGAUACGGGAUACUUCCCUUCUUGAGCAAUUAGAAGGAAGUCCUUCAACAUACAGAGUGUUGGAUACAUCUGGAGGUAGAGGAUGUGGUUCCCGGCCUGGCCUACCAACUGAAUCCAGCUGACCAAAACCCAUAUCCCGACCAUUUGGCCUGAAAUCUGAAGGCAAACUCCCACCACACCCAGCCAUGAGCUCACCCAUGGACGGACCAGGCAUCAUGUUGGAACCUCCUUGUCGUACCAUGCCAACACCAUUAAAUGGACCAGCUUCUUCAGAUGGCACAAAAAACGUUUGCUACAAAACAGGGAAAAGGUUUCAGUACACUGAAGAAAGAAGAGAAAAAAAACGAAGAAGAGACCACGUGAAUAAGGAUUAUACCAUACUCUGCAGGUAGCGGUCAUAAGCUGAUCCAAUACUUCUAGUAUCCUUUACUGAAUGGGGGAUACCUCGAUCCUCAUCCUGUGAUAAAUAACUGUGCAUAUCACCUGAAGGAAUCAAAUAUGGUGUACCUUCUACAAAGAGAAAAAUAAGACAAUUCAAAAUCACACAUUGAUAGGUAUGGCAAUAUAUAAACCAGUGGACCUCAUGACACACGAAAAAGAAGUACACAAGAUACAUAAUCUGCAACUAUAAAUCAGUGAUAAUCUGUUCCAGCAUUGAUGGUCAAACACUCAAACCUCUUUAACGUAGCAUCAUAUUUAGUAAGAGACGAAAUGAAGGAGGGACAAAUAAGACAAUUCAAACUCACACACACAACUUUAGAUUCAUGUGAUGAGCACAUAGCAGUUAAGGAGGGACAAGAUUCAUUGAACAUAAACUUUAAAGUAUAUGUGGGAAGCCCACCAAACAAGAAUACACAUAUCAUCAAAUUGCCAAAUUGAUGUAAACAAAUGACGCAAUCAUCACGAAAUGCAUAAGUAGAAACCCUCUAACUGCAUCGGAGUGUCUCCAAAAAAAUGAUGAAAAAACGUAAAACAUAUCCUCUCUUUUUUCCUAACACUCGUAAAUUGGUUCACCUAGAUAUAAUAACUGAAUCAAGAAUCAAAGAAAUUGUUGAAAAGGUCCAUAGAAGAAGGAGACUGAAUCUUCGAUGGACUACUCUGAAGGAUAGAGUUAAAGUCAUUAAAGAACGACGAAAAACCUUGUGGAUCGGUUGGUCCAAUAGUGGAAAAGAAGUCCGGUGAUACCGACGGCAGAGAAUAAGGUCCCGGCGAUAAAAUCCCAGCAUGGUGAAAACUUGGCCGCUCGAACCCUCGAUUUUGAUGUGGUUGUUCUUGAUGAUGAUGAUGAUAAUAUUGAUCCAUAGUCCCUUCGCCUCCAACAAAUGUCCCUAGUUCGUUUGAGAUAUUAGCCUUCUCUGUAACAGCAAACCGAGCCGCCGGAGAUAUCAACCCAUGAGAUGUAUCAACCAUUGUUGACGUGUCUUUUGGUUCCGACGUGGAUGAAGAGGAGGAGGAUGAUGUUGUGGAGGUAGAGGUUUGACCUGUGAGACGUUGGACCAAUGUCAUGAAGUUAUUAGGGUGUGUAUGGAUAAUUCUGGGAGUUACUGUGUAUAUGUUCACGGGACCAGGUGGGGGCCGAGAUUGCGACGGUUCUUGCUGAUGGGUUUGUGGUGGUUGUGGUUGCGGGUGUGGCGGCGCUAGUGGUGGCUUCUUGAUAAUCUUGUGCGAAUCUCCACGGACUUUCAGUGGUGUUGGUUUCGGACCCAUGUUUCCUCUUGAUCUUGGCGAUCUAUUAUCCAUAGAAUCCACUUUAUGAGAUGAAUAGUAUAUGUAUAUGUGUAUGUGUGAUGAUGAAUUUAGUGAAGAACAAUGAUUAUGUGAUGAUUAGGGGAAGUACUUGUAUAUAUAUAAUUAGAGAAAAAUAAGACAAUUCAAACUCACACAUCGAUAGGUACGGCAAUAUAUAAACCUGUGGACCUCAUGACACACAAAAAAGAAGUACACAAGAUACAUAAUCUGCAACUACAAAGCAUAGAUAAUCUGUUCCAGCAAUGAUGGUCAAACACUCAAAACCUCUUUAACAUAGCAUCAUAUUUAGAAAGAGACGAAAUGAAGGUUUAUUUUCUCAUUAACUUAGAAUAUGAAUGUACAUGUACAUGUUCAUAUACAAGAUAGAAUGUAAAAAACUACCCUACACAAGUAACAAGCUCUCUAUACUACUCUAAUACAUCAAUGUGGUGGGAUACAUACACUUAUCUUUACAGAACCGUUCAACCGCAAACAUAAUUUGAACAAAGUGGAUCAAGACUCCUAUAAACAAUAGUACAGAGCAAUUUUCAAGACAUACAUAUAUACUAAAAGAAGUUCUGAAUAAGAGCCAUACAAAAUGAAACCUAAGAAGAGAAUCAUAUGUUAAUGGUAGCUCCCAUAUAGCUCAUCUUUUUAAGUAAAAUAAGAAAAGGUUUUGUUUUCAUGGCAAAGAGGCAAAAUUUAGACCUAUAACAGAUGAAAAAUCUGUUCAUUAUUCUAUAUAACUAUCAUCACAACAAUGCCCACUAACAUAAGAGCUACAUUGAGAGUUGAUUCCAAGUGUAAAGACAGCUCCUUUCAGGUCUAAUAAUGAAAAUUACACACAGAGCGGAAAAAAAGAAGAAACUUUUAGCUUACGGAAGUCGGAACGGGGACGUUUGGGAGGAAGAACGUGAGGGUUCGACGAAAUUGGAAGCUGAUACUGUCUCUGCUGGUUCCAGUACUCAUCCGCCAUUGACGGCGACGGAAACAACAAAUCGAGAGAUCACAAUUCGAAAAUUAGUAAAUAAAAAUUCCUAAUUUACAGAAUAAGGCAUUCGAUUGCAGUUCUACUUGGUCCCAAUCGAACAAAAAAAUUCUACCCAGCAACUUGCUCGUUCCUCUGUUCAGAUCAAAAUUCUAAUUCGCUCAAUUUCAAUUUCAUCGAGUUUUCUGACUCAUUCUCUUUCGACAACGGAAGUGAAUGAUCCGAAUCUGAGUGACCCGACCCGUUUUGUUUAUAAACCCGGUAUUUCUUCUGGCGCCAAUUUAACAAGUAACGACUAAGUGAGGCCAUGAAUUUUGUCUGGACUAAUAUUUAUGUAAACUCAGUAAAAAUUUGGUAGAAAAUAAGUUUAACUUAAAAACUGGCAGAAAAUGAGUUUAACUUACAAAAAAAAAAGACUUUUUAAGUUUAACUAUUUAAGAUAACUCAUUUUCAACAAAUUUGUAGUGAGUUUACAUAAAUAUUUGUUGUAAGUAAAAAUUUAAGAAAAUUUACAUACAUGUCACCUACUAGUAUGUACAUAGCUUGGGGUUGGAAAGAUAUCAUUCCCCAAUUGCCUGCUCUCAUUCAUGCUUUUCAAACAUCGGAGAUGAACACUCCCAAAAUGAGAAGGUUGUGCAAAUUUACAGCACUACCAGAAGUAAGUCUUAAAAUCGUUUUUAUGUUGUUUAUUGUAUCUUUUAUCCAACACUUAUAGACUCUAACACACAUUGUAUUAUAUAGGCAAUGAAUAACAUAGGCGACAGAUCAGAUGUUUACAGUUUCAGAAUUUUUCUUGGUACUAUAAUAACGGUUAAGGUUUCAUAUGAGACUUUGGAUAGAUUAACGGCUAGACACACAAGCCUUAGGUGUUAUCGGGGUAAGACUUUUCUCCAUCCUUAAAAUAACUCUGACUGUGACAUAAUUGACUAAAUUGUGGUCAUGUGUUCAUUAGGGACAAAGGCCUGAACUUCCAAGCGAGACGAAUCCAAGACUGAAGAAAUUAAUCGAUGAAAUGCUUGGAUGGAGAUGCUAUGUAUAGGCCUCACAUCUAAGAUGUAAGACGUGUUUUGGAGUCGCUUGUCUCAGAAUUAAAUACGCCUACUACACCAACAACAACGCCUCUCCUGGUCACUCCUUCAACAUCAAACUCAACAUCGACACUGGUGUUAAGGGAUCAAUUUGAGGCAUUAUCAGGUGAUCUUGAUUCUUGAGUAAAAACCAGGAAAUAAUUUCACAAAAAGAAAAACAUUAUCCCAAACUUUGAUUUUUUCUAUGCUCACGUAGCUAAGAACGUGUUGAUAUCUCUGUUCUGGCACAUAUACAGUUUUAGUGCCCAAACUUUUUUGUUCUUUACUUCUUUUUCUUCCUGAUCAAUUGUGAACUUUGAGAUUCAGUUGUAUAUUCUAGAAAGUAAAAGGACCAUAUUCUCUUGAUCGUUAACUUUUGGAUUAGAAAACGUCAAUAUAUUAAAAUACAUCAAUAUCUAUUUUGAUAAAUUAUUUAAGAAUAUAACAGUAUAACCAAAAAUCAACGAUUAAUUUGAUAGAAAGAAGUCCGGUUAUAUCAAAUUCAUAGAAAGCGAUGAGAAUUUAACAUGAGAAGAAUAUUUUAGCGAAUCUUGUGAUAAUAUAUGUUAUUGGAAUAUCAGCAUAGUGAUUAGAAUUUUCUUGAAAAGAUAUUAGUAGAAUAUAUACUAGGAUUUGAUAAAUAUAUUAGAAUCUUUAUUUCUAUAGAAGAUUUAUUAGUCGAUAUUAGUGGGAUUUUGUGGAGUGAUGGGAUCAUAUGUUUCCCUAUUUUAUCUAGGGGUUUCUAUCUAUAAAAGGGGAUUGAUCAGAGCAGUCUUUCUCCAUAAUAUAGCCGAUAAUAUGAGUAAGACUUAUAAACCGUUGAAUAAAGAAACCGUGAAGUUACAAGCAAUGCUACAAAGGUACGGGUACUAUGAAAUGGUUCUCACUUCCCUUGAUUCAAAGGUUCAUUAGUCUUACUCGUAUUGUUAGCUAUAUUAAGAGGGAAACUCAAAGAUGUCAACAGAACUCCAGAAGAUGUCGGCCAAGAAAGUUCAGGAAGUUGUAACAUCAGCAACAAAGCAAUCUGCUAAUUGAAUCAAGUGGUGCCAAAGAGGCCAUAAAAUCCUUAAAAAGUGCCGGUAAUCGUUUAUUAUAUUGGUAGACAAACUCAAAAUAACUUUGCAUCUUCUGCUGUUUAAAGCUCAAGGAUAUAGCACAUAAGUUACCUCUCUUGCAAUGCGUUAUUGGCCUUGAUAGUAUUUUCCAUAUUAAUCUCACCGUCACUGUUUUGUCCUUAAGCAGUAGUUAAGCUCUUCAUUUUCUCUCAUGAAUUGUUUCUUUUUUUGGCGACAAAAGUCAAUUACACAUGUGAAACUACUUUCAUUUAGUCCACUGAAUGAUUUAAUCGAUCUAUUUUUGGAUUUCAAAUCACACGCAUAGUAGGUUCAAGAAUAUUAAUAUACUAACAAAAACCAAUUUACCUACAAACCCAAAAGUUAGAACUUAGAAGAUUAUACAAAUAGAAUUAAUCUAAUGCCCACUAUUGGAUAAGUUGAUGAGCACAUAGCAGUUAAGGAGGGACAAGAUUCAUUGAACAUAAACUUUAAAGUAUAUGUGGGAAGCCCACCAAACAAGAAUACACAUAUCAUCAAAUUGCCAAAUUGAUGUAAACAAAUGACGCAAUCAUCACGAAAUGCAUAAGUAGAAACCCUCUAACUGCAUCGGAGUGUCUCCAAAAAAAUGAUGAAAAAACGUAAAACAUAUCCUCUUUUUUUUCCUAACACUCGUAAAUUAGUUCACCUAGAUAUAAUAACUGAAUCAAGAAUCAAAGAAAUUGUUGAAAAGGUCCAUAGAAGAAGGAGACUGAAUCUUCGAUGGACUACUCUGAAGGAUAGAGUUAAAGUCAUUAAAGAACGACGAAAAACCUUGUGGAUCGGUUGGUCCAAUAGUGGAAAAGAAGUCCGGUGAUACCGACGGCAGAGAAUUAGGUCCCGGCGAUAAAAUCCCAGCAUGGUGGAAACUUGGCCGCUCGAACCCUUGAUUUUGAUGUUGUUGUUCUUGAUGAUGAUGAUGAUGAUGAUAAUGAUAAUAUUGAUCCAUAGUCCCUUCGCCUCCAACAAAUGUCCCUAGUUCGUUUGAGAUAUUAGCCUUCUCUGUAACAGCAAACCGAGCCGCCGGAGAUAUCAACCCAUGAGAUGUAUCAACCAUUGUUGACGCGUCUUUUGGUGCUGACGUAGAUGAAGAAUAGGAGGAGGAUGUUGUGGAGGUGGAGGUUUUACCUGUGAGACGUUGGACCAAUGUCAUGAAGUUAUUAGGGUGUGUAUGGAUAAUCCUGGGAGAUACUGUGUAUAUAAUCACGGGACCAGGUGGCGGCCGCGAUUGUGACGGUUCUUGCUGAUGGGUUUGUGGUGGUUGUGGUUGCGGGUGUGGCGGCGCUAGUGGUGGCUUCUUGAUGAUCUUGUGCGAAUCUCCACGGACUUUCAAUGGUAUUGGUCUCGGACCCAAGAUUCCUCUUGAUCUUGGCGAUCUAUUAUCCAUAGAAUCCACUUAAUGAGAUGAAUAGUAUAUGUGUAUGUGUGUGCGUGAUGAUGAAUUUAGUGAAGAACAAUGAUUAUGUGAUGAUUAGGGGAAAAGGCAGGGUACAUGAGUACUUGUAUAUAUAUGAUUUGUGUGUAUUAAAGAAGGAUAGAGAAAAGUCAAAUGAAGGAAGGAGAGUAAACCUACUUAAAAAGUGGUAAACUUUGGCUACUUGUUUGUUUGUAUUGAUUAUUAUAUCUUUUUAUGUAUGUUUCUUCUAGUAUGUUUCUUACCAAGAUUUGGUUUGGUUUACCCAAGAUUAAAAGUUUUCUAGUCGUGAGAAAAGACUCGCUAUUAACUACGACUUCCAACUUUUAUUAUUUAGUUUUCGUACCUCAAUUUAUUCUCGUUUGUGGUUAAUAUAAUUUGAUGAGAUAGAUACAUCUAGGUGGUGCUCACGUUGUUGUAUUUUUUUCUUUAAUAAAAAAAAAUUUAGAGGUGAAGUUACUGUUUAUAAGAUAGAGACAUAAAUUACGAAAAAAAAAAAAAAAUCGGAUACUUAUUUUUGUUUGCAUCUUAAUGGACUUAAAGGUUGAAUAUUUCCAGUCUAGAGGAAGUCAAAAGCGUAGAAGAGGUCAUAAGUGCCACGUCAGAUAAUUGGUAGCUGACUUGGCAUGAUUUUGUAGAGAGCUCCAACACGGUUCUUCUGAUCCAGACAUGACCCUGUGUCUGUGGACCAUAAUCAACACAAAUUUUGCCUUUGUCAAACAAUAUUUAUUCAAUAAAAACACAAAACUAGAUGUGGUCAGAAGUUUAAUAAUAUGUUUUCAAUAUUAACUGAUAUCUAUUGGCCUUUUUAAAAUCUAAAAUGAAUUUCGAGUUAUUGAAAUACUAUAAACAUGUCUGACAUUUAGUAGUUUUAGUGGUCAGGAAUGUCCACUUUGUAACUGAUUUUUUCUGUUCAAGGGUAUAUAUCACGGUUAUUAAAAAAAUUUAAAACUAUGUGACGUGAAAAUGUCAGAAAUAUAAUUGUGCUACGGCCACGAAAAUACGUUAUAUUGUCAUAAAUUUCAUAAUAGUGAUAAGGCCCACGUACUCUCGACCAACUCAAUUUUUCAUUUAUACGAAAAAAGCUCAAUAUCAUGGCUUCUUUGUCCAGAGACCAGAGGUUUUUGUCUCACGACACACACUCAAUGCGCCAUUCUUGCGCGUGGGUUCACGUUUUGUAGUCUCAGAGAAACAGAGCUUUUUUUUACAGUUAGCUGAAUCGCUACAUAACAAAAUUAAUCAAAACAUCACUACAAAGUCUUGAAGCGUUCGAUAAUAAUCUUUUGUGUUUGGGAGAUUAACAUAGUACAAAUUUAAAUCAUGAUAAUCUGAAAAAGGGCUUACUUGCGAUGUUGCUGGACGCGGGAACAGUAAUACAUGAGGGGAGAAAAAGUCUUUUGUGUUUGGUUUUGAGUCUAUUUUUUGGUCAAACUCGAAUCUCCAAAUGACAUGAAAUCCAUCUAUUUUCUUACUUAUUGCUCGAAAGUGAUUGGUCUUUCAAAGUCUCCCUAGAUUCUUCCAUUUAUGUAUAUUUUUUUGGUACAUUAGCCUAUAAUUAUAAUUUUUGCUGAACAACGAUUAGCGACAUUAUUUGCUAUCAAUUAGCUUCGGAUGCGAGUGAACGCGUAUAACCUUUAAAGGUCUCACGCGGUAAAUUAUAAAGAACAAUACUAUAUUACAUCGCAAAAGUAUAGUUGCGAAGUCUGGUUCUAGAUAGUACGAAUCAGUCUUAACACUG